GUAGUCUCGCACAGAUGCAUAUCAAUAAGCGGAGGAAAAGAAACUAACAAGGAUUCCCCUAGUAACGGCGAGUGAAGCGGGAAGAGCUCAAAUUUGAAAGUCUUAAAGGGUUUCCCUUUACGAAUUGUAGUUUAAAGAAGUGUUUUCUGUUGAGGUUUUGGUAAAAGUUCUUUGGAAUAGGACAUCAUAGAGGGUGAGAAUCCCGUAUUUGACCUUUACUUUCAUCUUUGUGAUACACUUUCAAAGAGUCGGAUUGUUUGGGAAUGCAGUCCAAAAUGAGUGGUAAAUUUCAUCUAAAGCUAAAUAUUGGCGAGAGACCGGAUAGCGAACAAGUACCGUGAGGGAAAGAUGAAAAGAACUUUGAAAAGAGAGUUAAACAGUACGUGAAAUUGUCAAAAGGGAAGCGUUUGACACCAGUGUUGUUUUUCUGGAAAUCAAUUAAAGAACUGUUUAUGCUAAGUUGUUUAGACUUUAUCAGCUAUCUGCUUAGUUUUGAGCUUUUCUUUAAUGCACUUUUCAGUUAACAAGUCAACAUCAAUUUCUUUUGCUGUAAAAAAGCUUGAGGAAGGUGGCUUGAGAUUCGUCUUAAGUGUUUAUAGCCUCUUGCCUAUGCAGUCGGAGAGAUUGAGGUCUGCAGCGUAGAUCCUUCGGGGCUAAAUGCAUUUGUGCUAAGUUAUAGCAUUUUAUAGACAACUUGUUGACUAUGAUUUGUCUUGUAGCUUACUCGCCUAUGUUAUUUUACCUACGCUUAGGAUGUUGACACAUGAGAUAUACGC
This 776-nucleotide ribosomal RNA is filed under the name uncultured Neocallimastigales. RNAcentral describes it as "partial large subunit ribosomal RNA". It matches the Rfam family "Eukaryotic large subunit ribosomal RNA", at positions 24 to 647 of the family's 3401-position model. Lineage: Eukaryota; Fungi; Neocallimastigomycota; Neocallimastigomycetes; Neocallimastigales. The record is from RNAcentral.